AUGGGCCUCAGGGAGACAGGGACUCGGAAGCUCAGGACCCUGAGCCCCUCCCCACGGUGCCCGGAACUCAGGGAGGGGACCCCACCUCCUACUUCCUGGGGCCCCGGCCACACCCUGCCCUGGGGUGCGCUGGGCAGGCCACUUCCUUCUCCCGCCGGGGCUGCAACCCCAGAGUCUGCUGGUAGGGGCGAGGACAGAGGGCGCAGGAUGGGUAGAUUCUGGACGACCCCCGGUCAACUCUAUCUUCUCGCAACUCUGGUCCCAAGGCUGGUGCAGGCCCAACCCCUGGCCCAGCGGAAGUCGUGGCUCGUGGGGCUAGGGGCUGCGCUGGCCUUGCUCUUCCUCAUCUUUGUCCUCACCUUGGUCUAUGCCGUCUGGUGCCGGGAGUCCCAGGACAGGUGGGUUCUCAUCCUUCUGAGCCCCUCCCCAUCGCUAACUCUUUAGCAUCUAAGCUCCGCCCCUUUCUGAGUCCCACCCCUCUAAGCUCCUCCUCGUGCCGAGCCUCUCCCUUACUAGCCCCUCUCCUCUGAGUCCCACCCUUCUGAGCCCCGCCCCUCACCGGCCCCUCCCCUCUAAGCUCCUCCCCUACCUAGCCCCUCCCCUCUCUGAGUCCUGCCCCUCUAAGACCCUCCCCGCGCCAAGCCCCUCCCCUCUGGGAGCCCCUUCCUUCUCCGAGCAUCCUUCAAGACAGGGCAGGACCAGCGGGGUAAUUCUCCGAUUCUGAGAGGCCCCCAUGGGGGCCUCACAGGACCUCACUGACUUCUCUCCUGACUACCUACCCGCAAAACGAGGGUGGCUUCCUCACAGAGAUUCCCCCAUCCCUAGGAUGUGUUUCAAUAGGGGGGGUCUAUAAAGUAUCAUCCCUAUGCCAACACCAUCCAUUUAUCCAUCCACCUGUCCAUCAUCCAUCCAUCAUCCCUCCUGACCUGUCUCCCAUCUUUUCUCUCUCCUUCCCUCCCUCCAUCAUCCAUCCCUCUUAUCUGUCCAUCCAUCCAUCCACCCACCUUCCCACCACCCAUUCAUGCGUCCAUUUGUUCAUCUGUCCACACACUCAUUAAUCCAUCCACCCAUCCGUCGGCCCAGCCUUUCAUCUCUCUGCCCGUCCACUCACCCGCAGUUAUGAAACCCAGGAAGUCAAAGAGGCCAGAAAUUAAGAGCUCAGUUUUGGCUCAUACAGUUGGCGCUCCUGAACUUCCUUCAUGUUCUAACGGGGCCAGUGUCCUAAGCUGCCUGAGUCUUGUCCCCCUCUGUGUCAUGGGAACAGUAAGGGUGCCUGCAGGACUCAGAGCUGGGAGAAUUGUCAGAGGCCUGGAGCACUGUCUGUCCUUAUUAACUCGGAUUAUCUGGGCUCUUCUGGUCUCCACAGCAGUGAAGAGAAGGAAGAGGAGAC
RNAcentral lists this long non-coding RNA (1390 nucleotides) under Cervus hanglu yarkandensis (Yarkand deer). RNAcentral's name for it is "lncRNA (ENSCHYG00000003805.1)". Lineage: Eukaryota; Metazoa; Chordata; Mammalia; Artiodactyla; Cervidae. The record is from RNAcentral.